Balaenoptera musculus (blue whale) is the source of this 110-nucleotide small nuclear RNA. The record is from Ensembl. NCBI's taxonomy places the organism in Eukaryota, Metazoa, Chordata, Mammalia, Artiodactyla, Balaenopteridae.
AUGCUCACUUCGGCAGCACAUCUACUAAAAUUGGAACAAUGAUAUAGAGAGGAUUAGCAUGGCCACUGCGCAAGGAUGACACGCAAAUUCGUGGAGUGUUCCAUAUUUUU